This 986-nucleotide ribosomal RNA is filed under the name bacterium enrichment culture. RNAcentral describes it as "bacterial SSU rRNA". It matches the Rfam family "Bacterial small subunit ribosomal RNA", at positions 8 to 977 of the family's 1533-position model. The record is from RNAcentral.
AGGGUUUGAUUCUGGCUCAGAACGAACGCUGGCGGCGUGGCUAAGACAUGCAAGUCGAACGGACUAUGCAAUUGAGUAAUCGAGCGUAUAGUUAGUGGCGAAAGGGUUAGUAAUGGCUAGGUAACGUACCCCGUGCUUCAGGAUAGCGUCUAGGUGCUUGCACCUUUCCGAAAGGGGCGGUAAUACUGGAUAACAUCAUUUGUCGAUAGGUAGAUGAUCAAAGAUUUAUCGGCAUGGGAGCGGCCUAGUUCCUAUCAGCUUGUUGGUGAGGUAAUGGCUCACCAAGGCAUUGACGGGUAGCGGGACUGAGAGGUUGGCCCGCAACAUCGGGACUGAGACACUGCCCGGACCUCCACGGAGGGCUGCAGUAACGAAUAUUGGGCAAUGAGCGAAAGCUUGACCCAGCGACGCCGCGUGUAGGAGGAAGUCCUUCGGGAUGUAAACUACUGUCAGGGGUAAGAAAGUGCGUUUCGGCGCAUUGAUCUAACCCAGAGGAAGUCACGGCUAACUUCGUGCCAGCAGCCGCGGUAAGACGAAGGUGGCAAGCGUUGUUCGGUAUUACUGGGCUUAAAGCGUGUGUAGGCGGAAACUUAAGCGUUUUGUGAAAUCCCUCGGCUUAACCGAGGAAUUGCUCGACGAACUGGGUUUCUUGAGGCAGGUAGGGGUGCGCAGAACUCUUGGUGGAGCGGUGGAAUGCGUAGAUAUCAAGAGGAAUGCCGGUGGAGAAGUCGGUGCACUGGGCCUGACCUGACGCUGAGACACGAAAGCGUGGGGAGCGAACGGGAUUAGAUACCCCGGUAGUCCACGCCGUAAACGAUGCCUGCUAGGUUGUGGUGGUUCUGACGCCAGCACAGCCGAAGCUAAAGUGUUAAGUACGCCGCCUGGGGAGUACGGUCGCAAGGCUAAACUCAAGGGAAUUGACGGGGGCUCACACAAGCGGUGAGCAUGUGGAUUAAUUCGAAGCAACGGCGCAGAACCCUUACCAG